This 550-nucleotide ribosomal RNA is filed under the name uncultured Glomus. RNAcentral describes it as "SSU rRNA". It matches the Rfam family "Eukaryotic small subunit ribosomal RNA", at positions 548 to 1098 of the family's 1831-position model. Lineage: Eukaryota; Fungi; Glomeromycota; Glomeromycetes; Glomerales; Glomeraceae. The record is from RNAcentral.
UUGGAGGGCAAGUCUGGUGCCAGCAGCCGCGGUAAUUCCAGCUCCAAUAGCGUAUAUUAAAGUUGUUGCAGUUAAAAAGCUCGUAGUUGAAUUUCGGGAUCAAUAUUUCGGUCAUGCCGUUGGUAUGCACUGUUAUUAUUGAUUUCUCACCUUCUAAAGAACCGUAAUGCCAUUAAUUUGGUGUUACGGGGAAUUAGGACUGUUACCUUGAAAAAAUUAGAGUGUUUAAAGCAGGCUCACGCUUGAAUACAUUAGCAUGGAAUAAUGAAAUAGGACAUCCGAUUCUAUUUUGUUGGUUUCUAGGAUCGAUGUAAUGAUUAAUAGGGAUAGUUGGGGGCAUUAGUAUUCAAUUGUCAGAGGUGAAAUUCUUGGAUUUAUUGAAGACUAACUACUGCGAAAGCAUUUGCCAAGGAUGUUUUCAUUAAUCAAGAACGAAAGUUAGGGGAUCGAAGACGAUCAGAUACCGUCGUAGUCUUAACCAUAAACUAUGCCGACUAGGGAUCGGAUGAUGUUAAUUUUUUAAUGACUCAUUCGGCGCCUUACGGGAAAC